AAGGAUCAUUACCGAGUGAGGGCCCUCUGGGUCAACCUCCCACCCGUGUCUAUCGUACCUUGUUGCUUCGGCGGGCCCGCCGUUUCGACGGCCGCCGGGGAGGCCUCGCGCCCCCGGGCCCGCGCCCGCCGAAGACCCCAACAUGAACGCUGUUCUGAAAGUAUGCAGUCUGAGUUGAUUAUCAUAAUCAGUUAAAACUUUCAACAACGGAUCUCUUGGUUCCGGCAUCGAUGAAGAACGCAGCGAAAUGCGAUAAGUAAUGUGAAUUGCAGAAUUCAGUGAAUCAUCGAGUCUUUGAACGCACAUUGCGCCCCCUGGUAUUCCGGGGGGCAUGCCUGUCCGAGCGUCAUUGCUGCCCUCAAGCACGGCUUGUGUGUUGGGCCCCGUCCCCUCCCCCGGGGACGGGCCCGAAAGGCAGCGGCGGCACCGCGUCCGGUCCUCGAGCGUAUGGGGCUUUGUCACCCGCUCUGUAGGCCCGGCCGGCGCCAGCCGACACCCAACUUUAUUUUUCUAAGGUUGACCUCGAUCAGGUAGGGAUACCCGCUGAA
Molecule: ribosomal RNA, 548 nt
Filed under: Aspergillus lentulus
Lineage: Eukaryota; Fungi; Ascomycota; Eurotiomycetes; Eurotiales; Aspergillaceae
Description: eukaryotic LSU rRNA
Rfam family: 5.8S ribosomal RNA (bases 196-349)
Source: RNAcentral